Non-coding RNA from Malus domestica (apple), 916 nucleotides. Lineage: Eukaryota; Viridiplantae; Streptophyta; Magnoliopsida; Rosales; Rosaceae. The record is from RefSeq and is a predicted model, not a curated record.
UAUGAUUUUAGUUUCACUUGCCGGAAUUGCAUUGCAUUGGUUCAAGAUGAAGGCUGGACUAAUACAAUACUCUCAAGGAUUCUAAAAUUUGCCACUCAGAACAAGGAUUAUUACCGAAAGCAACCGGCUGUAUUUCCUGGAAGCGAAAUUCCCGAGUGGUUUAGUAAUCAAAGUAUGGGACAUUUAGUAAAUGUGGAGCUUCCUCCACCAUCAUGUACCAACUGGCUGGGAAUUGCCUUUUGUGUUGUUUUUCAAGUUCCUAAGGAAAACUUGGCCAAUCUAGCCGCCCAUUUUUAUCGUAUUGAUUUAAAAAUUGAGUUUUUAUCAAAACCCUUCUACUCUAUGAUUUGUGGGUCUCUUGUGUCAGAACACAUUUGGGUAUUUCAUUUGCCUCGUGAAAUUUGUCAUCAGGAACAGUUUUUAUUCGGAACUUACUUUAGUUGUAUUGGAGGGGUAAACGUAGAAGCAGACUUGAAUAAGGUGAAGAAGUGUGGGGCUCGUUUGGUGUACAAGCAAGAUUUGGAAGAACUCAACCAAACACUGAAAAUCCUGAAACGAACACAUGAAUAUUGUGACGAGGCAUCUCCAAGUGGACCUAUAAGUGCUAGCUUCAACGACACAGAGCAAAUCCACAAAAAACAUUGUUACUAGUUACCAUCUUAUAAUAAAUGCAGACAACUCACUAUCGAUUUAUCCCAUCAGCUUAAUGGUUAUCGGAAUUUGAGCCCCGAGGUUGAAAAUGGUAUCUGCCAAGUUAGCCCACAUGUCGCUGGACUCUGAGACGUCUCCUGGGUCUAGUUCGACAAUGUCUAAUGAAGCGAAGAAGCUUGGUGCAUUUUUUAAACAAUUAAUUGAGACAGAUACUUGUAGAGACAGGGACCAUAUCUGAAUUCUUUAACAGUUGUACUUGGUUAAA